Molecule: ribosomal RNA, 138 nt
Filed under: uncultured bacterium
Lineage: Bacteria
Description: partial 16S ribosomal RNA
Rfam family: Bacterial small subunit ribosomal RNA
Source: RNAcentral
CCAUGCCGCGUGUGUGAAGAAGGCCUUCGGAUUGUAAAGCACUUUAAGUUGGGAGGAAGGCAGUAACCUAAUACCUUGCUGUUUGACGUUACCGACAGAAUAAGCACCGGCUAACUCUGUGCCAGCAGCCGCGGUAAU